This 253-nucleotide ribosomal RNA is filed under the name uncultured bacterium. RNAcentral describes it as "partial 16S ribosomal RNA". It matches the Rfam family "Bacterial small subunit ribosomal RNA", at positions 524 to 776 of the family's 1533-position model. The record is from RNAcentral.
UACGAAGGGUGCAAGCGUUACUCGGAAUUACUGGGCGUAAAGCGUGCGUAGGCGGUUUGUUAAGUCUGUCGUGAAAGCCCUGGGCUCAACCUGGGAAUUGCGAUGGAUACUGGCAAGCUAGAGUACGGUAGAGGAUGGUGGAAUUCCCGGUGUAGCGGUGAAAUGCGUAGAGAUCGGGAAGAACACCCGUGGCUAAGGCGGCUCUCUAGUACGGUACUGACGCUGAGACGCGAAAGCGUGGGGAGCGAACAGG